CAGUGAGCCCCUUUUGCUGGAUAACCUUACCUGGUAAUUUGACAUACUAGGUGGUUAGUAACUACUGACUGUCUCCAGGUUACAACACAGUUAUUACCCACUUGGGUGAAAAGAGAAGACAGGAAAUACAUUUUGGAGUUGGCUGGCAACCUGUUUACAAAGCAAUUUACAACAGUUCCUUAUUCUUAAGGGGCUAUUCUAAUACAAGACCUCAGAGAAACAGUGCAGUGUGACAAAGGAGGAAUUUAUCAAAGGAGACAGAAAAAGCAUCAAGGCAAGCUGUGAAAUGGUGCGGUAGGAACCAAAUAGAGAGCCAAAGGAUCUUUCUGUCACUGCAGGCCCUUAGGGUCAUCAGCAGAGACAGCUCCAAGCAAUUCUUUCUGGCUGAUUGUCCUUCCAGUGCCUGACAUGAAAAUCACAGCCUUGGCGAGAAAACAGCCGCUGCAGGGAGUGGUGCCCACAGUACUCUAGGCAUCCCUCACCUGCGUCCACUUCCCACCAUCCCUCGGAGGGGCCAGCACACAAGACAGUGACCGGGGCAUGUGUCAAGAGCAUGCGAGAGAAUAUCUACCCUGAGGCAGGAAAACACGGCUUCCGCUCGGCUGUCUCCCAGCUUGGUUUCUUAGAAAUCUAUGUCAUUAUCUUUCUGCUGGGAUUGUCAGACCUGAUUUUGAGAGCAUUUAAAACCUGACCCCUGAUGGAGCCUCUAAAA
This is a long non-coding RNA of Homo sapiens (human), 712 nucleotides long. Ensembl annotates it as TEX26 antisense RNA 1. Its record names the gene TEX26-AS1. The record is from Ensembl. Lineage: Eukaryota; Metazoa; Chordata; Mammalia; Primates; Hominidae.